AUGAAAAUUUAGGAUCCCUCAAAGUGUAUAGAGAACCUGAUAUCUAUAAGUUCCCACAAAACACACAAAAUCAGAGAUAAGUAAAUUACACAGUGAAGUUUUACGUGAAAAACUUCUAGCUCACAGGAUUAGAACUACGACCUACAUUCGUAGAAUUUCAACUCACUAACUCAGCAAAGUUCAGAUUACAAAUUUGUCACGACCCAAAUCGAUUGGACGCGACGGGCACUCGUUCCUUUACUCAACUGAGUACCAACUUAACGUAUCGAUCUUUCUUAUUACAUCUAUCAUAUACACGUGACAUACGAGCUUAAUAGAUCAAUAUGAUCAUUUAUAAACUCAAAACAUAGACCGACCAGGCUAUAUAAAUAUUCGUAUACAUGACAUCUGUCUACAAGACUCUAAGAGUACAUAAGUAUCAUAAAGGUCGGGACUGAGCCCCCCAGACCAAUCAAUACAUGUCCUAAUUAUACUGACCAAAUAAGCAUCUUCGGAGCAAAUGGAGCUCACCAACAUCUUCCGCUGAACAGAUAGCCUACAUGGAGGACUCUCGACCUGUCUAUCGGGACCUGCGGGCAUGAAACGCAGCGUCCCCAGAAAAAAAGGGACGUUAGUACAAAUAAUGUACCGAGUAUGUAAAGAAUGAAAAUUAGUAAAUAAUAGACAUAAGAGAAAUAUGUAGUAAAAGACUUGACAUGUAAAUCUGAAUAACUCUGCAAAUCAUGAAAUACUCAUAGUGUCUAAAUGUCAUGUCGUGCAUAGGUAUAUAUGUUCAUAACAUCAUCAAUCCUCUGAGGGCAUCCCAUCAUAUCAUUUCCACUACUGUGGGUAAAAUCGUCAACGCAUACCAGCUGAUCAGGUGCUAGUGCGUAUAUAACACCGUAACCUUUUUUCCGUAUCCAAUAUAAAUAUAAUAUACAUAUAUAUGCAUUUAUAAUGUCAUCUGAUCAUAGGUCAAUGUACAUGUAUAAUGCAUGAAAUGCAUAAGAAAUGCGUUAAUAAGAUUUCUCGGAAUGUGUCGAUAUAUAUUUCGGAUAAACUUUGUCAAAUACGUAUAUUUUGAGACCCAUGAACAGAAAAUAUAAUAAUAAUUCACAUGGGGAAUCAAGAAUAUGGGUACCCCUAGUAUUUCCAUAAACAUUGUCAUUUAUGAAAGUUGUGUAUUUUGCUCGUUUCAUUUGUAUUAUUUGGAUCGUGCCCAAAAAAAGAAGGGAUAACCUUAACAUACCCGAGCCAAUUCUCUUGACAAUCCUUUUAACACACGUCAACUGUAUCAACACAUAACGAUGGAUUGAAGUAAGAAAAAAUCCGCAUGAUAUUAUUGAAAAACAUUGUACCGUACUUUCUUAGAAUUGAAUCUCCAACAUAAUCAGAUCUUGUAUGGAGAAUUUGUUGAAGCUCAUCCGUCACUUAGUGAAUAUGACCAUCUUCAUCUCAUGCUUAAUCUCACCCAACAUUGAAGUUUUGUUUUCGUUAGAGAACAAAUGGAAACAACAGUAGGUGCCUGUGAAAGUGCUACAGAGGGAUUUAACUUUUAAGGAUAUGAAACAAACAAUGGCAACUCUUGCAUAGAAAUGUUAGAAGCAACUUCUUUUC
This 1596-nucleotide long non-coding RNA is filed under the name Nicotiana benthamiana. RNAcentral's name for it is "long non-coding RNA (NBEN_LNC009484)". Lineage: Eukaryota; Viridiplantae; Streptophyta; Magnoliopsida; Solanales; Solanaceae. The record is from RNAcentral.